AAGCAAUUCAGCAUUUAUAUAUAAAGAGAGCAAGUUUGUGCUUAAAGUUAAGGCAAAGUUAUACAUUGAAAGUAAAUAAAAAUCCUCAAUUUAUUUAAAAUUUACAUAUAGGUGAGGAUCAUUAUAUAAAUUAGGUUGGAUCAAAGGGAUUCAUAGGCCAUCCAUCUAGCAAUCAUGGCAGAACAUUGAGGUUUGAAUUUUGCAGCAAAGUGGCCUGCUCCCUUCACAGUUGCAUAUGUCAAGCUGAAAUCUCCAUUUUCAAAUUUCCUUGUGUAUCCAGCAGUUUCAUUAUUGACAGACCAUGGUCUCCAUUUGUCUACCAUAGGCAAGUUCAGAGACUUUAUCCAUUGUUGUGUUCCAAUAUAUGGAAUUCCAGUGUCAUGAUCCCCACUAUAUAUCAAACCUCGAAGAUUGGUCUUGGAGAAAUUUUGAUGAUAAGCAAUAACACUUUCGAUGUCACGGCCGUAGACGCUAUUUAAUGUGUCAUUACAGUAUAGCCAGGUGGAUAUGGCUCCCUUUCGAACAUGAAUAGCUUCUUGGACAUCCACAUUGUUUGCCCAUUCUUGGCAAAUUGAUUGAUAAUAUGCAUCACAUUUUUUGUGGGAAGCAUUAUUCAGUGAUGUGUAGGAAUUUGUGGACUUGGAGUUGAGCUUGGUGCUGGCUGAUGUCAAGCAUUUGCUGCUGCAGGCUGGGUCUAAAAUUUGGGCUGGAUUUAUGUAGCAGAGUAGCUCAUUAAUAUAUGAGAGAAGUGCAUUACAAUCCUCGGUGUUUGGCGCAGGGUAGAAUGUGCCAUUGCAACUUGCAUACGCUGCCUCAAAAAUAUCAUCUGAUACAAGUCCCAAACGGUGAGCUAUAGAAACCCUGGAACAGAUUCAGUUAUUGAUUCCAAUUCAAGGAUUCCUAUAGCUCACCG
RNAcentral lists this unclassified non-coding RNA (913 nucleotides) under Hevea brasiliensis (rubber tree). The record is from RNAcentral. Lineage: Eukaryota; Viridiplantae; Streptophyta; Magnoliopsida; Malpighiales; Euphorbiaceae.